Molecule: ribosomal RNA, 274 nt
Filed under: uncultured bacterium
Lineage: Bacteria
Description: partial 16S ribosomal RNA
Rfam family: Bacterial small subunit ribosomal RNA
Source: RNAcentral
AUACGGAGGGGGCUAGCGUUGUUCGGAAUUACUGGGCGUAAAGCGCGCGUAGGCGGAUUGAUCAGUCAGGGGUGAAAUCCCGAGGCUUAACCUCGGAACUGCCUCUGAUACUGUCAAUCUUGAGUUCGAGAGAGGUGAGUGGAAUUCCUAGUGUAGAGGUGAAAUUCGUAGAUAUUAGGAAGAACACCAGUGGCGAAGGCGGCUCACUGGCCCGAUACUGACGCUGAGGCGCGAAAGCGUGGGGAGCAAACAGGAUUAGAUACCCUAGUAGUCC